GGCGCCGUGGAGCGGUUCUGACCUGCCAAGAAAAACAAGGUCUGGGAAUCAAUUAGAAGCAAGAUCGUUUUGGCAGCUUCUGUGGUCUAUAGGUAAUACUCUUGCAGUGCAGGAGACCUGAUUUCCAUUUCUGGUCCCAAUUUCACAUUCAGUAAAGUAAUGUCUAUCUCUCUUAAGCCCUGUGUACUCUAGGGAAUUGUUACAAAAACUUCCCACCCAUUUACCUAGCUUUCUCAUUCUGGCCGCUGUUUUCAGCACUAGGUGGAAGGGACUGUCUUUAAAUGCUUUGGGCAGCACUACUCACUUCAAUGGUGUGACAUACAAAUGUUACAAAAUAAUACUACCUUAGAGGUUGGAAAUGCUCUUGAGGGCAAGAGGCUUUCCCCUCUGAAGGGUAGGAGAACCUCAUGUUGCUCACCAUUGACCACUUGAGCUGACUAAGGAGUGACACAAUCUAGAUUAAAAAGAAAAGGAGUACUUGUGGCACCUUAGAGACUAACCAGUUUAUUUGAGCAUGAGCUUUCGUGAGCUACAGCUCACUUCAUCGGAUGCAUAGCCAUAGGCUUAGUGCUUAGGCUUAGGCUAUGCAUCCGAUGAAGUGAGCUGUAGCUCACGAAAGCUCAUGCUCAAAUAAACUGGUUAGUCUCUAAGGUGCCACAAGUACUCCUUUUCUUUUUACGAAUACAGACUAACACGGCUGUUACUCUGAAACAAUCUAGAUUCUAUCUAGAAAGCAUCAACUAGUUUCUGAGGGAGUUGCAUCCGUUUUUCCACACCAAAGAUGACAGUAGCUGUUGCAUAGAGUUGUGAGGGUGGGAAGUGAAUGGAGAUGGAAAAAAUGGAGAGAUACUCAGGAUUGUGACAGACAUGAAGACCCAGUGGACAAAAAAGGCAGACUUUCUUUCUGUAUUUUUCUUGAAGAUUUGUUCUCUUUGUUUUGGGUUCCCCCUUCCAACAUCUAGGUGUGAUUACUGUAUUUCCUUGCAUCAGAUGAAGUGAGCUGUAGCUCACAAAAGCUUAUGCUCCAAUAAAUUUGUUAGUCUCUAAGAUGCCACAAGUACUUCUUUUCUUUUUGUGAAUACAGACUAACACGGCUGCUACUCCUGUAAUUCCUUACUGGCUGGUGUCUCUGUUUUGCUGACUGAAAGGUUUAGCUUAUCCAGAUUUCACUAAGCCUUUUAUUAGCACUAGACCAGCUCAAUACUUAACUCAUGUUUUCCAGCUUUUUGUUGUUGUCAUAUGAUAGCUUUCCUUGUAGAUCUUAAGAUCUUGCUCAUGACUUAUAAGCACUCCAUGGACUGCAUUCUUUAUAUAUUUGUGUUCAGAGGUUGGAAAGAGUUGCUGCUGGCUGAUGCAUUACACUAGAACUUCUGUGGUUACCUCAUUGGUUUCUGCAGAAUUUAAACUUUCACUUUAAAAAUGUCUAGUCUUUGUAAUCUCAAAGAAAAUAUUCCAAAUUUGAACUGAGGCAGUACUAUCUGUCUGAGUCUUCAGACAGAACAGCUUUGAGAGAUGUCAGCUAUAGCCCUUUGUCUUGAUAUCUUAAUGCUGAAACCUAAUUUUGACACAUUUUUUUAUCAAUGUUGUUAACUGUUUCACUGCUAAUGAUUUCAGCAGAAACAUCCAGCUAGUCUGGGGUUGUUGACAAAAGUUUGGGAUUGCAGGAAGAGAUUAGUGGAAGGUCACCACUUUUAUUUUUCCAAUCUGACCCAUUUGAGCCUUUUUAGCCAUUUAGUCUCUGUCUUGGCAUCUUGUAAGUAGGAGUUAUCUGUUCCACUGUUUAAAAUUAACCUCUUUGAAGAGAUGAUUUUCUCUUCACAUGCUUUCUCAUCUAUGGAGUAUGUUGCCUUCUGUUGUCAGGAACUCUGAAUACUUCACUGUAUUCCAAUCAUACGGUUUUCUAAACAGGGGUUAAGAGAGUUAACAAACAAUCAGUCUUGUUCGGGGAGGGGGCGGGGGGGAAGAUUUAAAAUUUUAAACUCCUCAUGUAAAUAGCACUGGAUAAGCUUUUAUAUUUCUAUUGUAUUUUAAAAUAUGAACCAACUGCAUGCACAUGUGAACACAGAUACACGUGUUGUUAGUAUUAUCUCAUAAAAUUUUGUUUUCACAUUUUCAAUAUACUCGCCAAACAAAAGCACAAGCUGAGUCUCUGUAAUGAAUGUGCUACUCAGUUCUGCUUGUGACUGCACAUCUAAUAGCUAUGGUUUAUACAGAAUGUUUGAUCUUGAAAGAAUCCAAACAAUUUUAGAUUGUAUAUUAUAUUUUAUAUAUAACCAUUUCCCCACAGUGCUAUUGAAAAGUAGCUGUUUUGAGGAUGGAAUAUGACAGCCAUAUUAGACCAACAACAUUGCAUAAUUGAUUUUAGGAGGGGAAAUGAAGAACAAUCCCUCAUUUCAGCCUUUGGGGCGCAUUUUAGGCAGCUGCAUUGAACCGGUCAACAAAUAUUGGAACAGAUUAUUUGGGUAUGGUCUGUGCUACAAAGGGUGAACGCUUUAUAAAAGGUGUAAUUGCAUGAAAAACUGUGAGUGCAUACAGGAAGCUGCUAUUCCAGCAGUGUAUUGCUUUGACUCCUGCUUGGAUGCCACAAAACAUUCUUGAGAGAUGGAGGAAAACAAAGGGCAGAGUGCUGGAGCCACCAGAACCCAACUCACUGCUGUAGGUGACCUGAGGAGAAGCUGGCAGAGCUGGGCAGAAGAUCACAUUGAUUAUCAGAGACAAAAUCCAUUCAGCAAUGAUAGCAAGCCUGUGCAUCCCCAGAGAGGAGAUCCCAUCUAUGGAAGACCGCCUGAAGGGUCUAAAACAGAGCAAAGAGGGAAAGAUGCUCACACACAUGUGGGAAAGGAAGUGGAAGAGCUAUGCUUGAUCAUGAGAAAUAUUGGUGAGAAAGGAGAAGAUGGAAAUGUAAGAGUGACAUUCCGACAACUGUUUGAAACAUAUGUGACUAUUUCCAAUAAAGUAGUGGGGAUCCUGCUGAGAGCAAGAAAAUAUGGGCUGGUUCAGUUUGAAGGUGAAAUGCUUUGGCAAGGAAAAGAUGACAAUGUCAUCAUCACCUUACUUGAAUAAUACUGAUGAAUGUUUCCAUUUAGGAAAAUAAACCAUCUAAGUGUCAGCUUGAUAAAGGUUUAUACAGCACAGGGGUGGAAUGGAAAACCAAUGAAGAGGAUGAAAAAUAUUUUCAUGGAAUCCUAGAAGUUGGAGAUAGAAAUGAUGUAAUGGGUCAGCUAAUCUAUCCCUGUGCCCUUUUCCUCCACAGCUUGGACUUGUCUACUUCUAAGUGUCUCAUACGAGAGGGCUUCUCUUACAGCUCUGCAUAACUGAAGUUAAAAUUACUACCAGUCUGCACUGGGUCUUGUAGCAGUGAGUUUAGAAAUAAGCAGAGUAAAAUCCAUCACAGAAUGUGGUAUCUUGCUAAUGAACCACAGUUAAAUGCUUGGAGAUGAAUUAAUAAACUUCAGUUUCAUUAAAAAAAAAAAAAAAAAAAAGCUGUACCUAUGGUACAACUUUAUUUUCACAUAUUGAAAUUGUAAUAAAAUACAUGCAAAUUAGCCUUAACUUCACCAGGUACUUGAAAAAUUCAAAACCUACCAACUUAAUGAAAUACUCCUUAUUUAAAUAUUCUGCAAGUCCAGCAAGAGCAUUUGGUGAUUUCACAAGUUAUGUGUUCCACUUUAUGUAUUUUUUGGAAGCCAAAUUUUUUUGAUGUGGUGGAAAAAUGUCUUUGCUAUCUUUCCCACUAUCCUUUUAAGUGUCUCUAUGCUUCAUUUAUUUUCAUUUUUUGUGUGUGUGUCUGUUCUGUUCUCCUCGAACUUACUUCUUUCCCAAGAGGUUUACAGGGCAGUCUCUUCUAUGCCCUUUCCAGGAAACCUGGAAGUGCCCUUGUAAAGUGCCAAAUUUUGUAAAGGGGAUUCUAUCUAGCCCGCCUCACAAGGAAGGCUGCCACAUAACACAGGGCCUUGGAGGGCAGAAAAUGUAAACUAGGCUAAUGCUCAUGGCACUGAAUAAAGAGGAUGAUUCCCUUGAAACAAAAUAUAGCAAUGUUGUGCAACUUUUGGAAGGAAGAGCCCUGGGGGAGAGGAGAUGACAGACAGUAGAGUGCCAAAUAGACAGCUAAUUAUGCAACACAUAAUCAUAUACCUCAUUUGGCAGAUGCUGAAAGACAGUGAUUUAAAUUCUAUGCACGUUCAGAAUUCUUCAAAAAAGGGAGAAAGAAUGGUCUUGUGGUUAAAGAAUGGGAGCUAAUAGAUACAGAUUCUACUUUUGGUUCUGCUAUGGAGUUCCUGGACUUUUUUACACUAGAAAAAUUAGAAUCUGUAAUUCAAAUUGAUGCAUCAGUACCACUGGAACCUGUAAUAUACUCAGGAGCCCUGUUUACACUACACUUUCCAUCAAUCCAUUUUUGACACGGUAGAUUCAACUUCUUGUGUGAUAUUGACCAAGUGUCUUAAUGGGUCUGGUGCCUCAGCUUCUCCAUCUGUUAAAUGAAGACUAUUCCCCUGCUUCAGAGGGAUGUAGAGGAUUAAUUGAGUGCUCUGAUAGACUCUGAAGGAACUUGAUAAGUCCAAACCAUUACCAUGCUAUUAGAGAGUCAAAAAAUGUCAAAGCCUGUGAAAAUUUUUAAAGGAAAUGAAAAUUUGUCAGAAAGCUUUCAAAAUGGAAAUUUUGAAACAAAACUUCAUUUCAAUUUGAGUUGAUGUGAAGUUUGGUUUUCAAUUUUCAUUCCCCCUACCCUCUUCUCUUCUUUUACUACUGGAAGAGGAGAGAGAAAAAGAAAAUUGAAAAUUUUCAGUUGAAACAAUUUCUUGUUUUGAUGAAAAUCAAACUUCAAACAAUACAGAAAGCUUGAACAUUUUCAUAUUUAAACAGCCAUUGAUCAAAACUUGUGCUUCUCAUAGCUGUAAUAGUGCAUGUGUAUUGUAUGAAGAUGGACACAUAGUAGAAUCAAGUUUUUUAAAAUACAUUUACAGCUAGCAUGCUUAGUUUUAAAUGCCAUAAUCCCAUUGAUUUCUCAUUAAAGUAGUGGAUUAUUCCUCCUAGGAAGUGUUUUUUAGGUAGGACAAGCCCUGAUGGGUGACCCGUGGUACAGAUCAGCAUUGUUGGGGAAAAGCAAGGAACCACUUAGAAGUGCUCCAGUGCUCCAGCCCCAUUGGGAUAGCAUAUAGAGGCCAGUUAAGCCCCAAUGAAAUGAGUCAGGAAAGGCUAGUCUUGUGGAGAUAAAGCACAAUUGGCUGGUCCUAUCAUACAUAGGUUACUAGACAAAACUUAGUGAGACGGUCACCAGGGAUUCUAAGUGCAAUAAGAUGUUUCCUGUUCACAAGUUAUGCACACAAGUCCCUUAAAGACUAGUUGAAAUCCUUCUGAGUGAUAGUGGUGGAUAGCUAAGCAUGUAAGAAUCACCAUACUGGAUCAGACCAUAGCUCUGAGUUCACUAGCCUGCAGGGGUGUGCGCAAGGGUGGGCAAGCCCCCCCAAUCAACUGAGGCACAGAACUCAGAGGCCAGGCCAGGGAGAGUAAGCUCCUGGGCUGGAGAUGACAACUCCUCCAGCCUGAGGGCACAGAAAGUGCCCUGCCAGAAGUGGACACAUUUUUAUUCCCAUACAUGCUCCUGCUAGCUUGCUUUCAGCAAUGGUUAAUACCUUAAAAGACGCUUGAAAGAAUGGGGUUGGCCAAGUUGUUCUCUAAUAUACAGUGAGUGAAAAAUAAAAUCCUGAGCUUGUCAGGAAAGCAUUAAGUAUAGUGGGUAGAGCAUGAGACUGGGAUGCAGACCUGGUGUCUAAUCCCAGAUCUGAUAUUCACUAGCUGUAUGUAUGAUGCAGACCAAAUACUUAAUCUUUCUUGCCUUAGGUACCCCAGCAUAGCAUGGGAUAACUCACCUUUGAAAAGCACUACAUAACUGUACAGAAUUCAUUAUGAUCAGCUAAAUUGAUUACAACCACCACUGCCACUCAUAAGAGAGCAUGUGGAAUACAUUAUAGUUUACCAGGAAAAUUUUUACAAUUUAUUUUUAUUGGGUUGGGUUCUGUUUUUUGAUAUUUUAAAUUGCCACACAUUCGGUAGCAAACCUUGUUUUUGAUCAUUUAAAAUUCCUACUUUCGCUCUGCCAAAUCACUUUCUUUUCUUCCUUCAAAUCCCUCCUAAAAGAUUCACUUUUUCUGGUUUCCCCACAAGUAGUGAAUAACUUAACAUAAGCUACCAAAAGAAAAACAAACAAACAAAUAUAUUCCUUCAUUUGUCUUCCAGUUGUGACCUGUCCACUCUGUGACUAUUCAGCUGAGAGUGUAAGUUCUUUAGGACAGGCUUUAUCUUGUGAAGCUUUGAGCACAGUGCCAGCAGUUUAAUAAAGGUCAUCAUGCAACAGUU
Long non-coding RNA from Chelonia mydas (Green sea turtle), 6357 nucleotides. RefSeq lists it as uncharacterized. The transcript is spliced from 4 exons. NCBI's taxonomy places the organism in Eukaryota, Metazoa, Chordata, Testudines, Cheloniidae. The record is from RefSeq and is a predicted model, not a curated record.